This is a long non-coding RNA of Numida meleagris (helmeted guineafowl), 1832 nucleotides long. The record is from Ensembl. Lineage: Eukaryota; Metazoa; Chordata; Aves; Galliformes; Numididae.
CCAGGUUGCUGAUUACCAGAGUAACUGCCAAGCUUUCAACUCCUUGUCAUCAAUGGGCUGUGAAUGACAGACAGCAUUAAUGUUGGCAAGCUCCCACUCUCCUUUUCGCCUUUCCCAAAUGUAAUUAAACUGCACUAAUACAGCAAAAGAAAAGCUGCAGCUUUAUUUUACUCACCCUAAUAACAUAACAAUUAAAUCACAGAAGCACACAAUGCAGUCAAAUAAACCCAUCAUGACAAGGAAAUUCAGAGGUAAGAGAAGCGUGCAUCUAACAUUUAGAGAAAAACAUGAGGAAAGAGUCUUCCUUUUCUCUCCUAACACUACAAUGACCACACUGUUUGACCUUCAGCAAGACAAUAUGGCCAACAUCUAAGUAGCCACUCCGCUGCAGCCUGCUGAAAGGCAUCAAGUGUUUCUUCUUCUGUUGCACCUUCAGUUUAAGCAUAAAGGGAAUAAUUAGCUUCUCCUUGAAAUGAUCUGUUAUCUCCCUGGUAGGAGACAGCUGGAUAAGGAACAGAGAAGAUGUAACACACAAUUAGAAUGGCAUUACACAACUCACCCACCAGAACAAGAUGUCAUUAUCCUGAUCCUGGAGGAAGUCCUGCACCUUAGAUCUAAGGACUAUGGGGCAAUCAGAGGAUAGCUGAGUGUGAGGAAGAAGGAGAAAUCAGUCCUUGACUCAUUUGCAGAGGACAAGGGAGGCUUGUAGAAUGCAGAGGUAUCACUGAACAUUUAUGUGGUAAUUUAUGCGCAAAUUUAUUUAUGUUUCUCCAGACCAAAGCAAAGCAGAAGUUACAGGCCUGCAGAAAGGCAGCAGAGUUUAACCGUAAAGCUGUCCCUCCUUGCUGUCCCUCCUUGCUGCAAUGCUCUAGGACAGGAAGCAAGCGCCGCAAAGACUGAGAUUGUGGUGUUCCAAGCCAGCUCCAGGCCAUCAAAGGGAGAGCCAGCACCUCAAACACCCACCUCAUCUGUUUUUGCCAUCAAGCAGAGAAAGAAGAAGCCACAAAGGAUGUGGAAAAACAUUUCAGAAGAACAUAAAAUGAGCCUUUAAUUUUCUUGUGCAUCAACAAUAAUUCGUGAUAGAAAAAUAAUGAUGGAGGAUUUGGUUCCUGUGUAGAUACUACCUUGAACAUUUUAAGAGGCUUUCUCUGAGUCACCAUGAAUAGAGAUGAUUCCCCAGACCUUGUAACAAUUUAAUCUGAUUUUUUAGACUGAAUAUUAAACAAAGAUUGGCAACAGAAAUUGGCCCAGAAGAUGAAAAAAAAUGCCAAUCUUGCAGACAAGAUUUGUGUCAUUUCAAUGUGACGGCCUUUGAUUUUCAGAGUAAGCAGCUACGUUUGAGUUACCACCAGAGAGGGCUUUGGUCUACAGUUUCUCCUGGCCUGUUCACUACACCUAGAUAAUACCCUAAGCACAUGCUAGUAUCUUUGAACAAAAUUAGAUAUAUUUACAAAUAGGACAGGAUCAGCCUAAGGCUGCUGGCCUGAAACUGUACCCAAAGCAGUACGAAUUAUUUUAAAAAGAAUGAAUUUUGCUCUGGCACACAGAACAGUGAGGACGGAAAUUCUAUUCUUAAGUCUUUUAAGACCAGCCAGUUCCCAGAUGUGCAGUUCUAUGGGACUUUAAUCCUACUAGAGGAGGUUUAUUUGUGUGUUUCACAAUAUUAGAUGCCAUUUGCAUUAAAAGGGUAGGAAAAGAAUGUUAUUUCAGUGGUCAGUGUGUGAUUUAGCAAGUGGAGAUGAAAAGGUUCUGAUUUUUUUUCAGUGUUAACUUACCAGGGCUUCAAACUUCAUUUUCAAUUAGACAAAAAUGCUAAAGUUUGUGAACUAGAU